This 253-nucleotide ribosomal RNA is filed under the name uncultured bacterium. Its description in RNAcentral is "partial 16S ribosomal RNA". It matches the Rfam family "Bacterial small subunit ribosomal RNA", at positions 524 to 776 of the family's 1533-position model. The record is from RNAcentral.
UACGUAGGGUGCAAGCGUUGUCCGGAAUUAUUGGGCGUAAAGAGCUCGUAGGUGGUCUAUCACGUCGGAUGUGAAACCCUGAGGCUCAACCUCAGGCCUGCAUUCGAUACGGGCGGGCUAGAGUGCGGUAGGGGAGACUGGAAUUCCUGGUGUAGCGGUGAAAUGCGCAGAGAUCAGGAGGAACAUCGGUGGCGAAGGCGGGUCUCUGGGCCAUUACUGACACUGAGGAGCGAAAGCGUGGGGAGCAAACAGG